Molecule: ribosomal RNA, 2289 nt
Filed under: Triticum aestivum (bread wheat)
Lineage: Eukaryota; Viridiplantae; Streptophyta; Magnoliopsida; Poales; Poaceae
Description: partial small subunit ribosomal RNA
Source: RNAcentral
AUGGGUUGCAAGGGGUCCAAGCUGGACGAGCAGGAGGCGGUGGCGCUGUGCCGCGGCCGCGCCGACCUGCUCGCGGUCGCCGUCCGCCACCGCGACGCGCUCGGGGCCGCGCACGCCGCGCUCGCCGGCUCGCUCCUCUCCGUCUCCUCCUCGCUCCACCUCCUCCUCGUCUCCGCCUCCGCCCGCCCGCGCCCGGGGAUCACGCUCCCCGCCGCCGCCAAUGCCAAGGCCGUCGACCCCCCUCCAGCGGCGCAGCCCUCCUCGCCCCCGCACUCCUCCUCGCACAUCGACUUCGCGCCCUCCUCCGGAUCCGACUCCGGCUCCGUCGCCUCCUCGCCUCCCCGCCGCGUCGACGACGCCCGCCACGACCAACUCCACCACCCGCACCCGUACGCGCUUCAGUUCCCGCAUUACGGCUACGGCUACAGUUACGAGCCUGAGCCACCGUUCGGGUACCCGCCGGGGUCGCUGCAGCUCUACUACGCGCGGAGCCGCCCGCCUCCGGCCUCGGUCGCCGUCGAGCAGCGCGCGCCCGCGUCGGAGCGCGUCUACCUCGGCUCCUCCGACCCGGCGGGCGGGAACGCGCGGUAUUACUCGUACGGAGGAGUGACCACGCCGGCAGGUAGGGCGGCUGCACCCCCGCCGUCGCCGCCGAGGGCGAGCUCGUGGGACUUCUUCAAUGUGUUCGACGACUACCAGGUGCACGACAACUACUGUUACGAUGCUGCCGGCGCCGGGACCACGGCGACGACACCGUACACGCCGAGCCGGUGCUCGCGGGACGUGCGGGAGGAGGAGGGCAUCCCGGAGCUCGAGGAGGACGACGCGGUCGUCAAGGAGGUGUCCAGCGAGCACUAUAUGACCGGGAGUGGCGGUGCUCGCAGCCGACGCAGCUCGGUCGGCGGCAUGAGCAGCAGCGAAGAGGAGAAUUGUGUUGUCGAUAAGGGAGUGCUCUCCGGGGGUGGCAUGGCGCGGCAACAGGCGCCAGCGCAGCCUAAUGUCGCGGCCUCCGUUCGCACUCACCGGAAGUCAUCGGAGACUGCAGACUUCGCCGGGGAGAUCAAGGCACAGUUUGUUCGAGCGGCCGAUGCAGUCUGGGCGGUCGGACCGAUCCUGGAGGUCGACAGGCGGAGUUACCAAUACCACCCCCGCAGCUCAGUGUACCAUGUUUCGUCUCGGAUGGUGUCAACGGCUGCAUUACCAAAUUCAGGGCAUGGAGGUGACGAGUUGGAUGUUGGAGGUUGGAAGAAGGUGGCUGAAGGGGGGAGAAGCUUAUCAGUCACCCUGCAGAAACUCUAUAUCUGGGAGAAGAAAUUAUAUAAUGAGGUUAAGUCUGAAGAGAAAAUGCGCCUCCUGCUAGCCAAGAACUCCAAGCGGCUGAAGUUCUUGGAUCAAAAGGGUGCUGAAGCUCAGAAGAUCGAUGCAACUCAAAAUUUGGUCAGGAAGCUGUCGGCAAAAAUAAGAAUGGCUGUGCGAGUUAUUGCUAAGGUUUCAAAAAAGAUAAACAGAGUUAGGGAUGAGGAAUUGUGCCCACAAAUUAUGGCCUUAAUCCAAGGGUUUGUGAAGAUGUGGCAAGAAAAGCUGGACUGCUACCAGACUCAGUGUGAAGCAAUAUCGGAGGCGAAAAACCUGGAUUCGGCUAUCUCCGGCGGGAUCAGUCGGGAUCUAGCGAUGGAGCUUGAAGUGGACUUGGUUAAAUGGAUUGUAAAUUUCUGCUCUUGGGUAAAUGCGCAAAGGAGCUUCGUGAAGGCACUGAACGGAUGGCUGGCACUGUGUCUCAACUAUCAGCAGGAGGAGACGCCCGACGGAGCUCCUCCUUAUUCUCCUGGAAGGGUGGGUGCGCCUCUUGUGUUUGUCAUCUGCAACACCUGGUCUCAAGCCAUGGAUCGGAUUUCCGAGAAGGAAGUGGUUACCGCCAUGCAAGCCCUUGUCUCCAGCGUACGCAACCAGUGCGAGCACAGAGCCUCUGUUGAGCAAAGCGAGCUGAUCUUCGUAACCCGGGAAAGAGAAAAGUGGAACAGGAUUCUGGAGAGGAAGUCCGUGGAGAUUAACAGGGAGGCAGACACACUGAACAAGAAGCUGGCCCUUGUGCCAGGCCGGCAGAGCCUGCUUCCAACGGCGCAAACGUACCAGGCGCAUUUUCUUGAAGCAGACAGCCUGCACGUAAGCUUGAGCCGGGUGCUUCAGUCCUUGGAGAGCUUCGCGUCCAGCUCCCUGCAAGCUUUCCGGGAGACCCUGAGACAUGCCGAAGAAGAAAUGCUGUCCAGAGAGAGUGCUAAAGUUUCAUAG